UGAUUUCUUUAAAGAGGGCUUGUGGGGCUGUGAAACCAAGAGCUCUUAGCACUGUGACCAAAGGCUGAAGUUCUCCACAGGAGGCCAUACAGUGAUAUGUUCCUGAGGAGAUAUGAAA
Molecule: small nucleolar RNA, 118 nt
Organism: Heterocephalus glaber (naked mole-rat)
Lineage: Eukaryota; Metazoa; Chordata; Mammalia; Rodentia; Bathyergidae
Source: Ensembl